RNAcentral lists this ribosomal RNA (777 nucleotides) under uncultured Neocallimastigales. Its description in RNAcentral is "partial large subunit ribosomal RNA". It matches the Rfam family "Eukaryotic large subunit ribosomal RNA", at positions 23 to 637 of the family's 3401-position model. Lineage: Eukaryota; Fungi; Neocallimastigomycota; Neocallimastigomycetes; Neocallimastigales. The record is from RNAcentral.
AGAGAGAGACAUGCGCGCAUAUCAAUAAGCGGAGGAAAAGAAACUAACAAGGAUUCCCCUAGUAACGGCGAGUGAAGCGGGAAGAGCUCAAAUUUGAAAUCUUCAAGGUUUUACCUUGACGAAUUGUAGUUUAAAGAAGUGUUUUCUGUUGGAGUUUUGGUAAAAGUUCUUUGGAAUAGGACAUCAUAGAGGGUGAGAAUCCCGUAUUUGACCAUUAUUUCCAACUUUGUGAUACACUUUCAAAGAGUCGGAUUGUUUGGGAAUGCAGUCCAAAAUGGGUGGUAAAUUUCAUCUAAAGCUAAAUAUUGGCGAGAGACCGAUAGCGAACAAGUACCGUGAGGGAAAGAUGAAAAGAACUUUGAAAGGAGAGUUAAACAGUACGUGAAAUUGUCAAAAGGGAAGCGUUUGACACCAGUGUUGUUUUCUCGAAAUCAAUUAUGAAAUGGCCUGAUUUUAAGUUUAUUGACCUUAAAAGCUGUUGCUUCACUCUUUUCAUUGUCUUUUGUAAUGCACUUUUCGGUUAACAAGUCAACAUCAAUUUCUUUUGUUGUAAAAGGGUCAGAUGGAAGGUGGCUUUACUUUCGGAGAAAGUGUUUAUAGCCUUUGAUCUCUGCAACCGGAGAGACUGAGGUCUGCAGCGUAGACUCUUCGGGGUUAGAUACAUUUGUGCUAAGUUAUAGCUUUGUAUAGACAACGUGUUGACUAUGAUCAGUCAUGUAGCUUACUCGCUUAUGCUAUUUUACCUACGCUUAGGAUGUUGACAGCAGUAUAGACUGU